UACAGAGGGUGCGAACGUUGCUCGGAAUUAUUGGGCGUAAAGCGCGUGUAGGCGGUCUUUUAGGCCGAUCGUGAAAUCCCAUGGCUCAACCAUGGAAGGGCGGUCGGAACCGGAAGACUUGAGUCCCGACGAGGAUGGCGGAAUUCCCAGUGUAGAGGUGAAAUUCGUAGAUAUUGGGAGGAACAUCGGUGGCGAAGGCGGCCAUCUGGGAGGCGACUGACGCUGAGACGCGAAAGCGUGGGGAGCAAACAGG
RNAcentral lists this ribosomal RNA (253 nucleotides) under uncultured bacterium. Its description in RNAcentral is "partial 16S ribosomal RNA". It matches the Rfam family "Bacterial small subunit ribosomal RNA", at positions 524 to 776 of the family's 1533-position model. The record is from RNAcentral.